GUUCACAUCAUGUGGUGCAGUGAUCACGUGGUACAAGUCAGACUCAAUGCUCAGAAAGUUUGCAAGUUAUCAAUUUCAAUACACUCCUACACCACUUGUUCCUAAACUGGAAAAUGGCUCUGUCUGGGUUCAGACAACUGCAGCAAUGGAUGUGGACGUCACUGUAUGUCUCUAUAUAUAUGUGAAGCCAAGCCAAAGACGACUUUGUGUUCCCAAAUUUGUAUCUAUGUACUACACAGAAGUGGUGCCCAGCCAGUUGUGGCCUAGCAUGCGGUGAAACACAUGGGAAGGGCAUGACCGAUUGAUUCUGUGGUGACCAAAUAAUAAAUGCCUUGGUAUAA
Puntigrus tetrazona (Sumatra barb) is the source of this 341-nucleotide long non-coding RNA. RefSeq lists it as uncharacterized. The transcript is spliced from 3 exons. The record is from RefSeq and is a predicted model, not a curated record. NCBI's taxonomy places the organism in Eukaryota, Metazoa, Chordata, Actinopteri, Cypriniformes, Cyprinidae.